Molecule: ribosomal RNA, 251 nt
Filed under: uncultured bacterium
Lineage: Bacteria
Description: partial 16S ribosomal RNA
Rfam family: Bacterial small subunit ribosomal RNA
Source: RNAcentral
UACGUAGGCAGCGAGCGUUGUUCGGAAUUACUGGGCGUAAAGAGUGUGUAGGCGGUGCUCUAAGUUCGGUGUGAAAUCUCCUGCUUAACUGGGAGGGUGCGCCGGAAACUGGGGUGCUCGAGCGUGGGAGAGGAAAGCGGAAUUCCUGGUGUAGCGGUGAAAUGCGUAGAUAUCGGAGGAACACCAGUGGCGAAGGCGACUUCCUGGCCUGUUCUUGACGCUGAGGCGCGAAAGCUAGGGUAGCAAACGGG